UACGUAGGGUGCGAGCGUUGUCCGGAAUUAUUGGGCGUAAAGAGCUCGUAGGCGGUCUGUCGCGUCGAUCGUGAAAACUUGGGGCUUAACCCUGAGCUUGCGGUCGAUACGGGCAUGACUGGAGUUCGGCAGGGGAGACUGGAAUUCCUGGUGUAGCGGUGAAAUGCGCAGAUAUCAGGAGGAACACCGGUGGCGAAGGCGGCAUCCUGGACCAUUACUGACACUGAUCCGCGAAAGCUAGGGGAGCAAACGGG
Molecule: ribosomal RNA, 254 nt
Filed under: uncultured bacterium
Lineage: Bacteria
Description: partial 16S ribosomal RNA
Rfam family: Bacterial small subunit ribosomal RNA
Source: RNAcentral